UACGUAGGGUGCAAGCGUUGUCCGGAAUUAUUGGGCGUAAAGAGCUCGUAGGCGGUCUGUCACGUCGGAUGUGAAAACUCGGGGCUCAACCCCGAGCCUGCAUUCGAUACGGGCAGACUUGAGUUCGGCAGGGGAGACUGGAAUUCCUGGUGUAGCGGUGAAAUGCGCAGAUAUCAGGAGGAACACCGGUGGCGAAGGCGGGUCUCUGGGCCGAUACUGACGCUGAGGAGCGAAAGCGUGGGGAGCGAACAGG
This 253-nucleotide ribosomal RNA is filed under the name uncultured bacterium. Its description in RNAcentral is "partial 16S ribosomal RNA". It matches the Rfam family "Bacterial small subunit ribosomal RNA", at positions 524 to 776 of the family's 1533-position model. The record is from RNAcentral.